GAUGAACGCUGGCGGCGUGCCUAAUACAUGCAAGUCGAGCGAACAGACGAGGAGCUUGCUCCUCUGACGUUAGCGGCGGACGGGUGAGUAACACGUGGAUAACCUACCUAUAAGACUGGGAUAACUUCGGGAAACCGGAGCUAAUACCGGAUAAUAUAUUGAACCGCAUGGUUCAAUAGUGAAAGACGGUUUUGCUGUCACUUAUAGAUGGAUCCGCGCCGCAUUAGCUAGUUGGUAAGGUAACGGCUUACCAAGGCAACGAUGCGUAGCCGACCUGAGAGGGUGAUCGGCCACACGGGAACUGAGACACGGUCCAGACUCCUACGGGAGGCAGCAGUAGGGAAUCUUCCGCAAUGGGCGAAAGCCUGACGGAGCAACGCCGCGUGAAUGAUGAAGGUCUUCGGAUCGUAAAACUCUGUUAUUAGGGAAGAACAAAUGUGUAAGUAACUAUGCACGUCUUGACGGUACCUAAUCAGAAAGCCACGGCUAACUACGUG
Molecule: ribosomal RNA, 497 nt
Filed under: uncultured bacterium
Lineage: Bacteria
Description: partial 16S ribosomal RNA
Rfam family: Bacterial small subunit ribosomal RNA
Source: RNAcentral